RNAcentral lists this ribosomal RNA (490 nucleotides) under uncultured bacterium. Its description in RNAcentral is "partial 16S ribosomal RNA". It matches the Rfam family "Bacterial small subunit ribosomal RNA", at positions 30 to 507 of the family's 1533-position model. The record is from RNAcentral.
AUUGAACGCUGGCGGCAGGCCUAACACAUGCAAGUCGAACGGUAACAGGAAGAAGCUUGCUUCUUUGCUGACGAGUGGCGGACGGGUGAGUAAUGUCUGUGAAACUGCCUGAUGGAGGGGGAUAACUACUGGAAACGGUAGCUAAUACCGCAUAACGUCGCAAAACCAAAGAGGGGGACCUUCGGGCCUCUUGCCAUCUGAUGUGCCCAGAUGGGAUUAGCUAGUAGGUGGGGUAACGGCUCACCUAGGCGACGAUCCCUAGCUGGUCUGAGAGGAUGACCAGCCACACUGGAACUGAGACACGGUCCAGACUCCUACGGGAGGCAGCAGUGGGGAAUAUUGCACAAUGGGCGCAAGCCUGAUGCAGCCAUGCCGCGUGUAUGAAGAAGGCCUUCGGGUUGUAAAGUACUUUCAGCGGGGAGGAAGGGAGUAAAGUUAAUACCUUUGCUCAUUGACGUUACCCGCAGAAGAAGCACCGGCUAACUCCGUG